Bos taurus (domestic cattle) is the source of this 1797-nucleotide long non-coding RNA. The record is from Ensembl. Lineage: Eukaryota; Metazoa; Chordata; Mammalia; Artiodactyla; Bovidae.
UGACCACUUGGGCUCCUGGCUCGCAGGGAGACGCCGUGGGCCUGGCCGGGCGGGGGUCCCUGAGGGUGGCCUGUCCCCUCCCCCCGGCACGGCCUAGCUGGCUUCCGGGCCCCCAAGCCCUGCGGGAUCUCCCAGGACAGAGUGGCCUGUGAGGGUAGUCAGACGGAGAGGAGGCAGCAGGACAGCACCUGGCCCACAGGCCCGCCCGGAAGGCACGAGCCCGGGAACAAUGCCCUUCGUGUGACAGACUUUCCCUCCGUGGGAGAAAAUAGAGCUUGAUAGAAUGGCAAUUUCCUGCAUUUGUGCUAUGGCAGAGAGUGGUUCACACAGGGACCUCCCACAAAGGGGAGCUCCUCGCCAAGUCGGCGGGGGCCCCAGGGCCGGGCAAGGGUCCUCCCUGUCCUCCAGGCCCCUGCCCGCCCCCCAAGCCUCAGCUCCAACUCAAGCAGCUUGUGGACGUGCAGAGGGGCUGGGAGGGGGCAGGGGGGCUUCCUGGAGGAGGGGACCUUGGACAGAUUGGGCCAUGAAGACAGCUUCUCAGGGGACAGAGGGCCCAGGGCAGAGCAGAUGGGGUGCCACGGUGAGGGCAGGCCGGGGGCACUGCCAUGGGUGGAGGGCAGAGGUUCCAGGGAGGCAUACCAGCAGCAGAGCCUGGGCCUCCGUCUACGUUCUGAGUGAGGAAGCGGGCAGCCUGGAGGUGCCCCUGGAUAUGGCGAUGCUGAGUGCUUGUGGCCCAUGACGGCUGCCAUGGGCUGAAGGUCCCAGUGCCUCCGCCCGCGGGGCCUGGCUGGCCCGGGUGGUCAGACCCAGAGCCCAGGGGACCGCUGACCUGCUGCGGCGGGGGCAGGAUCCUGAGGACACCCCUGGGGUCUUUCCCCUCCCAGAAGAGGUUUGUGGCCAGGGCCUGGGAAGAGGGGGUUUGAGGCGGAGCAGGGCGCCUGUGGCCGGGACGGAGUGCCUGGCCCAGGCUCACACUGCGGGGUUCUUGGGCCAUGUACUGAGGAUGCCGUCUCUACCCACCUCUUCUCUGAGGACGGGCCGCUGGCCGGCCCUCCUGCCGGCCCUCCUGCCCAGUAAUUCCAGCGCUGAUGCGCUCUCCAGGGCACACAGCCUGGCAGGCUGUCCCGACCUCUGUGUUUCAACCUUUCUCUGUCCCUGGGCACAGGGACUCAAAUGAGCUACGAGCUGCCCACCACACCCCAGCCCUGGGGGCCACCCUGUGGCCACUGGCCUCUUGGUCUCUCCUGGGGGAAGCCCUGGCUGACCCUCCUGCCUUCUCCUAAGGCUUCAGCAGCUCCCACACCCAAAGCCCACCACGGCCACACCUCUCCUUGGAGCUCAGGCCUCACCCGUUCACACCUCACCCCCAUUCAGGGCCCAGAGCACAGAGGUGGUGGGACCCCUGCCUUGCCCUGGGGACACAAGGCCGUUCUCUGUAGGUGCUUCAGACAGCAGUGCAGGGCAGGGCCUCACGGCUGAGAUGAGGCUUCUCUAGGACACCCUGCCUUUUCAUACUGUUCAUGGUGUUCUCAAGGAGAGAGUACUUAAGUUUCAAAAAACUAAGACCAUGGCAUCCAGUCCCAUCACUUCAUGGCAAAUAGAUGGGGAAACAAUGGAAACAGUGUCAGACUUGAUUUUCUUGGGCUCCAAAAUCACUGCAGAUGGUGACUGCAGCCAUGAAAUUAAAGGAUGCUUGCUCCUAGGAAGAAAGGCUAUGACAAAUGUAGACAGUGUAUUAAAAGGCAGACAUCACUUUGCCUACAAAGGUCCAUAUAGUCAAAGCUAUGGUUCUUCCAG